UGGAAGUAUAAAAAUCGUAACAAGGUUUCCGUAGGUGAACCUGCGGAAGGAUCAUUAAAUUCAGUAGCUUGCUACUGUUAGGGGGGGUCUAUUAGUCUGUAUAGUAUCACUACUGAUGAGCAGCACGACCCUCUGUCUAUACCCUUGUCUUUUGCGCACUCAUGUUUCCUCGGCGGCUUGAUACCCGCCGGCUGGAUCAAGCUAUAACCUUUUUAAUUUUCAAUCAGCGUCUGAAAAACCUAAUAAUUACAACUUUCAACAACGGAUCUCUUGGUUCUGGCAUCGAUGAAGAACGCAGCGAAAUGCGAUAAGUAGUGUGAAUUGCAGAAUUCAGUGAAUCAUCGAAUCUUUGAACGCACAUUGCGCCCCUUGGUAUUCCAUGGGGCAUGCCUGUUCGAGCGUCAUUUGUACCCUCAAGCUCUGCUUGGUGUUGGGUGUUUGUCCACCAUCGUGGACUCGCCUUAAAGUCAUUGGCAGCCAGUGUUUUGGUAUUGAAGCGCAGCACAUUUUGCGCCUCUAGUCUAGAACACUAGCGUCCAGUAAGCCUUUUUCCACUUUGACCUCGGAUCAGGUAGGGAAGGCGGCCAC
This 588-nucleotide ribosomal RNA is filed under the name Pleosporales sp. Its description in RNAcentral is "eukaryotic LSU rRNA". The stretch from base 251 to 404 matches the Rfam family "5.8S ribosomal RNA". The record is from RNAcentral. Lineage: Eukaryota; Fungi; Ascomycota; Dothideomycetes; Pleosporales.